This 110-nucleotide ribosomal RNA is filed under the name Octodon degus (degu). Lineage: Eukaryota; Metazoa; Chordata; Mammalia; Rodentia; Octodontidae. The record is from RNAcentral.
CUUGCCACCCUGAAUGCACCCCAUCUCCUCUGAGUUCUGAAGCUAAGCAGGGUGGGGCCUGGUUAGUACUUGGAUGGAAGAUUUACUGUUUAAUAUUAGCAAAUAAAAGA